This 320-nucleotide ribosomal RNA is filed under the name uncultured Prevotella sp. RNAcentral's name for it is "bacterial SSU rRNA". It matches the Rfam family "Bacterial small subunit ribosomal RNA", at positions 28 to 339 of the family's 1533-position model. The record is from RNAcentral. Lineage: Bacteria; Pseudomonadati; Bacteroidota; Bacteroidia; Bacteroidales; Prevotellaceae.
GAUGAACGCUAGCUACAGGCUUAACACAUGCAAGUCGUGGGGCAGCAUGAAGGAAGCUUGCUUCCUUUGAUGGCGACCGGCGCACGGGUGAGUAACGCGUAUCCAACCUUCCCCUUACUAGAGGAUAGCCCGGCGAAAGUCGGAUUAAUACUCUAUGUUCUCCUUAGAGGGCAUCUGACGAGGAGCAAAGAAAUAUCGGUAAGGGAUGGGGAUGCGUCUGAUUAGCUUGUUGGCGGGGUAACGGCCCACCAAGGCAACGAUCAGUAGGGGUUCUGAGAGGAAGGUCCCCCACAUUGGUACUGAGACACGGACCAAACUCC